AUUCGGCUUAGAGUUUGAUCCUGGCUCAGAGUGAACGCUGGCGGCGUGGAUUAGGCAUGCAAGUCGAGCGAUCCCGCAAGGGAUAGCGGCAGACGGGUGAGCAACACGUGAGUAAUCUGCCCUUAAGUUAGGAAUAGCUUCGUGAAAACGGAGGUAAUGCCUGAUAGUAUUAAUGUAACGCAUGUUAUUUUAAUUAAAGACAGGGACCGCAAGGCCUGUCGCUUAGGGAUGAGCUCGCGUCUUAUCAGCUAGUUGGUAGGGUAAUGGCCUACCAAGGCUUUUGACGAGUAGCUGGUCUGAGAGGAUGGUCAGCCACACUGGGACUGAGACACUGCCCAGACUCCUACGGGAGGCUGCAGUCGAGAAUCUUUAGCAAUGGACGAAAGUCUGACUAUGCGACGCCGCGUGAGGGAUGAAGGUCUUCGGAUCGUAAACCUCUUUUGGCAGGAAAGAAACCUUGCAGGUUAAUAGCCUGCAAGCUGA
This 483-nucleotide ribosomal RNA is filed under the name uncultured bacterium. RNAcentral describes it as "SSU rRNA". It matches the Rfam family "Bacterial small subunit ribosomal RNA", at positions 1 to 472 of the family's 1533-position model. The record is from RNAcentral.